RNAcentral lists this ribosomal RNA (428 nucleotides) under uncultured bacterium. Its description in RNAcentral is "bacterial SSU rRNA". It matches the Rfam family "Bacterial small subunit ribosomal RNA", at positions 353 to 772 of the family's 1533-position model. The record is from RNAcentral.
AGUGGGGAAUUUUCCGCAAUGGGCGAAAGCCUGACGGAGUGACGCCGCGUGUGGGACGAAGGCCUUCGGGUCGUAAACCACUGUCAGUGGGAAAGAAGGGUGUCGGGGCUAAUACCUCCGGCAUCUGACGGUACCUGCAGAGGAAGCCCCGGCCAACUCUGUGCCAGCAGCCGCGGUAAGACAGAGGGGGCAAGCGUUGCUCGGAAUUACUGGGCGUAAAGGGCGCGUAGGCGGGAUGGCAAGUCGGUCGUGAAAUCCCUCGGCUCAACCGAGGAACGUCGAUCGAUACUGCCGUUCUUGAGGAUUGCAGAGGAGACUGGAAUUCCCGGUGUAGCGGUGAAAUGUGUAGAGAUCGGGAGGAACACCGGUGGCGAAGGCGGGUCUCUGGGCAAUUCCUGACGCUGAGGCGCGAAAGCGUGGGGAGCAAA